RNAcentral lists this ribosomal RNA (700 nucleotides) under uncultured beta proteobacterium. Its description in RNAcentral is "bacterial SSU rRNA". It matches the Rfam family "Bacterial small subunit ribosomal RNA", at positions 81 to 777 of the family's 1533-position model. Lineage: Bacteria; Pseudomonadati; Pseudomonadota; Betaproteobacteria. The record is from RNAcentral.
CGGUCUGGCGGCGAGUGGCGAACGGGUGAGUAAUGUAUCGGAACGUGCCCAGUAGCGGGGGAUAACUACUCGAAAGAGUAGCUAAUACCGCAUACGCCCUACGGGGGAAAGGGGGGGAUCUUAGGACCUCUCACUAUUGGAGCGGCCGAUAUCGGAUUAGCUAGUUGGUGGGGUAAAGGCUCACCAAGGCGACGAUCCGUAGCUGGUUUGAGAGGACGACCAGCCACACUGGGACUGAGACACGGCCCAGACUCCUACGGGAGGCAGCAGUGGGGAAUUUUGGACAAUGGGGGCAACCCUGAUCCAGCCAUCCCGCGUGUGCGAUGAAGGCCUUCGGGUUGUAAGGCACUUUUGGCAGGAAAGAAAUCGCACGGAAUAAUACUCUGUGUGGAUGACGGUACCUGCAGAAUAAGCACCGGCUAACUACGUGCCAGCAGCCGCGGUAAUACGUAGGGUGCAAGCGUUAAUCGGAAUUACUGGGCGUAAAGCGUGCGCAGGCGGUUCGAAAAGAAAGAUGUGAAAUCCCAGGGCUUAACCUUGGAACUGCAUUUUUAACUCUCGAACUAGAGUGCGUCAGAGGGGGGUGGAAUUCCGCGUGUAGCAGUGAAAUGCGUAGAUAUGCGGAGGAACACCGAUGGCGAAGGCAGCCCCCUGGGAUGACACUGACGCUCAUGCACGAAAGCGUGGGGAGCAAACAGGA